ACGAACGCUGGCGGCGUGCUUAACACAUGCAAGUCGCACGGAAAGGCCCUGCUUUUGUGGGGUGCUCGAGUGGCGAACGGGUGAGUAACACGUGAGUAACCUGCCCUUGACUUUGGGAUAACUUCAGGAAACUGGGGCUAAUACCGGAUAGGAGCUCCUGCUGCAUGGUGGGGGUUGGAAAGUUUCGGCGGUUGGGGAUGGACUCGCGGCUUAUCAGCUUGUUGGUGGGGUAGUGGCUUACCAAGGCUUUGACGGGUAGCCGGCCUGAGAGGGUGACCGGCCACAUUGGGACUGAGAUACGGCCCAGACUCCUACGGGAGGCAGCAGUGGGGAAUAUUGCACAAUGGGCGGAAGCCUGAUGCAGCAACGCCGCGUGCGGGAUGACGGCCUUCGGGUUGUAAACCGCUUUCGCCUGUGACGAAGCGUGAGUGACGGUAAUGGGUAAAGAAACACCGGCUAACUACGU
RNAcentral lists this ribosomal RNA (466 nucleotides) under uncultured bacterium. RNAcentral's name for it is "partial 16S ribosomal RNA". It matches the Rfam family "Bacterial small subunit ribosomal RNA", at positions 29 to 506 of the family's 1533-position model. The record is from RNAcentral.